CCUACGGGUGGCUGCAGUGGGGAAUAUUGCACAAUGGGGGAAACCCUGAUGCAGCAACGCCGCGUGAGCGAAGAAGGCCUUCGGGUCGUAAAGCUCUGUCCUAAGGGAAGAAGCAUGACGGUACCUUAGGAGGAAGCCCCGGCUAACUACGUGCCAGCAGCCGCGGUAAUACGUAGGGGGCGAGCGUUAUCCGGAAUCACUGGGCGUAAAGGGUGCGUAGGCGGCCAAUUAAGCCAGAGGUGAAAGGCUACGGAUGAACCGUAGUAAGCCUUUGGAAUUGAAUGGCUUGAGUGCAGGAGAGGAGAGUGGAAUUCGUAGUGUUGCGGUGAAAUGCGUAGAUAUUAGGAGGAGCACCAGUGGCGAUGUCGACUCUCUGGACUGUAACUGACGCUGAUGCACGAAAGCGUGGGGAGCAAACAGUAGUAGAUACCCUUGUAGUC
RNAcentral lists this ribosomal RNA (440 nucleotides) under uncultured bacterium. RNAcentral describes it as "bacterial SSU rRNA". It matches the Rfam family "Bacterial small subunit ribosomal RNA", at positions 338 to 795 of the family's 1533-position model. The record is from RNAcentral.